CGUUUCAUUCCUUUACACAAAAGCUUCCACUUUCUUCCAUUGAACUCUUCCUGAAGUGCUCAAAAAUCUCUCUCUUUUUUUCUCUCUUCAUAUAGUCCUAACCCAAAAAUAUAAUACUACUUAAUUCUCAAAACCUAGAAAAUUCCAUUGAAAAUCUUCCUCACGUGUUCAAGAUUCUCCUCUGUUUUCCCGGGAAUUCAUCUGAUUCUAUAAGUGGUUUUCUGUUGGCAGACACAUGGCACCAAGAUUAAACAUUGAUCGAAUAACAACCGACACGCCAGAUUGGACUUCCAAAGUCCAAAUUAUCGACAUGAGCCGUGAGCGAGAAAAUCCUGAGAAGAAAAUCAGAUUACAAAAUUUAAUUUUGGAAGAUGAAGAGGAGCAGCAAAUUAAGGCCGUUCUGUAUGGUGAUGAUAUUGGGUAUGCAGAGAAGGUUCAAAUCUCGGAGACAUAUCUGAUUUUCGCUGCAAGAGUUCGAGUUUCGCCCACUUUAUACGGUAAACCAAUGCACAAGUUUUAUUGGGUACUCGACAAAGAAACUAUAGUUGAACAUGUCAAGCCAACUGACGAGCAUGAGAAACCACUCCCACCAUCAACUAAGCUGAAUAUCACAACUUUUGAUCGCAUCGUUUAUAUGACUCCUCAUUCUUCUGUAGAAAUUAGUAUACCACUCCUACCAAUUAUUAGCAAGCUCAAUUAUAUAUGCUUAUACAUUUAAGUACAACAUUCAUUUCCGAUUAUAUGCCCUUAUUUUCCUUUGGAAGCAUAUGCAUAUCCUUACGAUAGAUGCUCAAAAAUUUAGUAUUAUAUUCCCCGCACUCUCAGCAAAAAUGAUUUCUACUCACUUUAUGGGAGGACUUCGGAGAAAUUGAAGGAACUGAGCUCCAAGCUAAAAUGGGAAACGAUGAAGAGUUCCCUGUAAUCCUUGGAAGGAGUAUAGGAAUAUCUUCUUAUCAGGAUUCAACUCAACAAUACACAUAAAUCCUGCUUACCUACAGGCAUUGGAGCUCAUCAACUGGUACUAACUUUUCAACUUUACUCUUUAACAUGCCCUUGAACAACAUAUUGAAUAUUUUAUUUGCUGUGACAAUAGGGAAAAAACAAACAAACACAUGCUUUCAAGUUAUGCAUCAGCCAGCUUGUCUGUGUCAUCAACGUCUCUCGCCGUAACUCCUGCUCAGCAGCAAGUUAUCCCCAUCGCAGAAAUUUCAACACAGACUUCGAUUGGAGUUUUCUAUGUUGAGGCAGAAAUGUUUAUUUCAGAAUGAGCUGCAAAAAAUUUUGCGUGCUUCCUUAGUCGAUGAUUGGUGUUUUACCUUUUUUUUCUAGGUACUUCAAAAUACCUCCCUGCUAUGUGGUUUUUGCAAUAGCAAAGGUUGGCAACUAAUAUUAGGAGAUUGUAGCUCCAGCUCAUAUGAAAUGAUAAAUGAAGAUACUUGAAGAUGUUAUUUGAAUAUAGUCAUGCUAAAUAAUGUACGUAUCUUUCUGUAGUUAUGCUAAACAAUGUACUUAUCUUUUCUUAUGGUAUCCGUUUUUCAUAUAUAACAAAUCAUAGCUUCCUGAUAA
Molecule: RNA transcript, 1566 nt
Organism: Lycium barbarum (goji berry)
Lineage: Eukaryota; Viridiplantae; Streptophyta; Magnoliopsida; Solanales; Solanaceae
Exons: 5
Source: RefSeq, a predicted model, not a curated record